ACGCUGGCGGCAGGCCUAACACAUGCAAGUCGAGCGGAAACGACACUAUCAAUCCUUCGGAUGCGUUAAUGGGCGUCGAGCGGCGGACGGGUGAGUAAUGCCUAGGAAAUUGCCUUGAUGUGGGGGAUAACCAUUGGAAACGAUGGCUAAUACCGCAUAAUGCCUACGGGCCAAAGAGGGGGAUCUUCGGACCUCUCGCGUCAAGAUAUGCCUAGGUGGGAUUAGCUAGUUGGUGAGGUAAUGGCUCACCAAGGCGACGAUCCCUAGCUGGUCUGAGAGGAUGAUCAGCCACACUGGAACUGAGACACGGUCCAGACUCCUACGGGAGGCAGCAGUGGGGAAUAUUGCACAAUGGGCGAAAGCCUGAUGCAGCCAUGCCGCGUGUAUGAAGAAGGCCUUCGGGUUGUAAAGUACUUUCAGUUGUGAGGAAGGGUGUGUAGUUAAUAGCUGCACAUCUUGACGUUAGCAACAGAAGAAGCACCGGCUAACUCCGUGCCAGCAGCCGCGGUAAUACGGAGGGUGCGAGCGUUAAUCGGAAUUACUGGGCGUAAAGCGCAUGCAGGUGGUUCAUUAAGUCAGAUGUGAAAGCCCGGGGCUCAACCUCGGAACUGCAUUUGAAACUGGUGAACUAGAGUGCUGUAGAGGGGGGUAGAAUUUCAGGUGUAGCGGUGAAAUGCGUAGAGAUCUGAAGGAAUACCAGUGGCGAAGGCGGCCCCCUGGACA
This 723-nucleotide ribosomal RNA is filed under the name Vibrio sp. 14C10. Its description in RNAcentral is "bacterial SSU rRNA". It matches the Rfam family "Bacterial small subunit ribosomal RNA", at positions 33 to 735 of the family's 1533-position model. The record is from RNAcentral. Lineage: Bacteria; Pseudomonadati; Pseudomonadota; Gammaproteobacteria; Vibrionales; Vibrionaceae.